CGAGAGGACCGGAGUGGACGAACCUCUGGUGUUCCGGUUGUCACGCCAGUGGCAUCGCCGGGUAGCUAUGUUCGGAAGGGAUAACCGCUGAAAGCAUCUAAGCGGGAAGCCCCCCUCGAGAUAAGAUCUCACCAAAUCUUCGAGAUUUCUAAAGGGCCCUCGUAGACUACGAGGUUGAUAGGCGGGAUGUGUAAGCGCUGUGAGGCGUUGAGCUAACCCGUACUAAUUGCCCGUGCGGCUUGACCAUAUUACCGAG
This 256-nucleotide ribosomal RNA is filed under the name Gammaproteobacteria bacterium. RNAcentral's name for it is "partial 23S ribosomal RNA". It matches the Rfam family "Bacterial large subunit ribosomal RNA", at positions 2684 to 2925 of the family's 2925-position model. Lineage: Bacteria; Pseudomonadati; Pseudomonadota; Gammaproteobacteria. The record is from RNAcentral.